Molecule: unclassified non-coding RNA, 317 nt
Filed under: Hevea brasiliensis (rubber tree)
Lineage: Eukaryota; Viridiplantae; Streptophyta; Magnoliopsida; Malpighiales; Euphorbiaceae
Source: RNAcentral
GUUUGCGCUGAUGGAGCUGUCUGGUUCUCAUUAUGCUGCUGUUUGCAUGGAAAAAGACACAAGCUUUAGAGGAGCGGAGAGUAUUCCCAUGAAGUUAAAUGUGUGGAGAACAAUUCCAUACGUGGAAGAUGAAUGUGUUUCUGGAACCGAGGCUGCUCUAUCGAUUGACGGCUUUGCUCAAACAAAUGUGAAGUUUUCCGAAACUCGAAAUAUAUAAAUAUUGAAUUCUAUUAAUCAUGUUCGAUUCUUCUUUCUUGAUUAUACAUCCCUAGAACUAUCCCCAAAAUACUCCGUCGAGGACGUGGUAUCAGGUAUUU